CAGAGUUUGAUCCUGGCUCAGAUUGAACGCUGGCGGCAGGCUUAACACAUGCAAGUCGAGCGGAGAGAGGUAGCUUGCUACUGAUCUUAGCGGCGGACGGGUGAGUAAUGCUUAGGAAUCUGCCUAUUAGUGGGGGACAACAUUUCGAAAGGAAUGCUAAUACCGCAUACGUCCUACGGGAGAAAGCAGGGGAUCUUCGGACCUUGCGCUAAUAGAUGAGCCUAAGUCGGAUUAGCCAGUUGGUGGGGUAAAGGCCUACCAAGGCGACGAUCUGUAGCGGGUCUGAGAGGAUGAUCCGCCACACUGGGACUGAGACACGGCCCAGACUCCUACGGGAGGCAGCAGUGGGGAAUAUUGGACAAUGGGCGGAAGCCUGAUCCAGCCAUGCCGCGUGUGUGAAGAAGGCCUUAUGGUUGUAAAGCACUUUAAGCGAGGAGGAGGCUACUUUAGUUAAUACCUAGAGAUAGUGGACGUUACUCGCAGAAUAAGCACCGGCUAACUCUGUGCCAGCAGCCGCGGUAAUACAGAGGGUGCAAGCGUUAAUCGGAUUUACUGGGCGUAAAGCGCGCGUAGGCGGCUAAUUAAGUCAAAUGUGAAAUCCCCGAGCUUAACUUGGGAAUUGCAUUCGAUACUGGUUAGCUAGAGUGUGGGAGAGGAUGGUAGAAUUCCAGGUGUAGCGGUGAAAUGCGUAGAGAUCUGGAGGAAUACCGAUGGCGAAAGCAGCCAUCUGGCCUAACACUGACGCUGAGGUGCGAAAGCAUGGGGAGCAAACAGGAUUAGAUACCCUGGUAGUCCAUGCCGUAAACGAUGUCUACUAGCCGUUGGGGCCUUUGAGGCUUUAGUGGCGCAGCUAACGCGAUAAGUAGACCGCCUGGGGAGUACGGUCGCAAGACUAAAACUCAAAUGAAUUGACGGGGGCCCGCACAAGCGGUGGAGCAUGUGGUUUAAUUCGAUGCAACGCGAAGAACCUUACCUGGCCUUGACAUAGUAAGAACUUUCCAGAGAUGGAUUGGUGCCUUCGGGAACUUACAUACAGGUGCUGCAUGGCUGUCGUCAGCUCGUGUCGUGAGAUGUUGGGUUAAGUCCCGCAACGAGCGCAACCCUUUUCCUUAUUUGCCAGCGAGUAAUGUCGGGAACUUUAAGGAUACUGCCAGUGACAAACUGGAGGAAGGCGGGGACGACGUCAAGUCAUCAUGGCCCUUACGGCCAGGGCUACACACGUGCUACAAUGGUCGGUACAAAGGGUUGCUACCUAGCGAUAGGAUGCUAAUCUCAAAAAGCCGAUCGUAGUCCGGAUUGGAGUCUGCAACUCGACUCCAUGAAGUCGGAAUCGCCAGUAAUCGCGGAUCAGAAUGCCGCGGUGAAUACGUUCCCGGGCCUUGUACACACCGCCCGUCACACCAUGGGAGUUUGUUGCACCAGAAGUAGCUAGCCUAACUGCAAAGAGGGCGGUUACCACGGUGUGGCCGAUGACUGGGGUGAAGUCGUAACAAGGUAGCCGUAGGGGAACCUGCGGCUGGAUCACCUCCU
Molecule: ribosomal RNA, 1530 nt
Filed under: Acinetobacter sp. V-10
Lineage: Bacteria; Pseudomonadati; Pseudomonadota; Gammaproteobacteria; Moraxellales; Moraxellaceae
Description: bacterial SSU rRNA
Rfam family: Bacterial small subunit ribosomal RNA
Source: RNAcentral